This 253-nucleotide ribosomal RNA is filed under the name uncultured bacterium. RNAcentral's name for it is "partial 16S ribosomal RNA". It matches the Rfam family "Bacterial small subunit ribosomal RNA", at positions 524 to 776 of the family's 1533-position model. The record is from RNAcentral.
UACGUAGGGAGCAAGCGUUGUCCGGAAUCAUUGGGCGUAAAGAGCGCGUAGGCGGCCCUGUAAGUCCGCUCUGAAAGUCAAAGGCUCAACCUUUGAAAGCGGGUGGAUACUGCAGGGCUAGAGUCCGGAAGAGGCGAGUGGAAUUCCUGGUGUAGCGGUGAAAUGCGCAGAUAUCAGGAGGAACACCAAUUGCGAAGGCAGCUCGCUGGGACGUUACUGACGCUGAGACGCGAAAGCGUGGGGAGCAAACAGG